Helianthus annuus (common sunflower) is the source of this 418-nucleotide long non-coding RNA. RefSeq lists it as uncharacterized. Lineage: Eukaryota; Viridiplantae; Streptophyta; Magnoliopsida; Asterales; Asteraceae. The transcript is spliced from 3 exons. The record is from RefSeq and is a predicted model, not a curated record.
GUUGACACUUUCACAGAGCCAAGAAAGGGGCUCUUCCUUUGAACCCUAAAUCACAAGAUACAAUCAAAUUCAACAAGGAAAUCAAGUCUAAAUCAAAAACCAAGCUGAAAUUAGUGAUCACUCAAGUGAAGGGAUCACAAGGCAAAGCGGGUGAAUCUUCAAGCGGUCAAGUUGGAGCGGACGCGCGCUUGAAGGUGAUCAUAGUGACCUCUCGGAUGAACAUCAAGCAAUUUCCAAGAACCGAACACAAGACUUUUGAAGCUUCCACAAGAAUAUCAUUUUGUUUAGUUAAAUGUGAAACAUGAAAACACUUGGUGCUAUAUUUCGAAUGUUUUAAACUAAUAUGGAUGUUAACCAUAUAAAAUUUUUUGUAAUGUCGCAUUUACAUUUUAAUGUGUAAUUAAUAUAUUAUAUUGUG